RNAcentral lists this ribosomal RNA (835 nucleotides) under Bacillus sp. JE16. RNAcentral's name for it is "bacterial SSU rRNA". It matches the Rfam family "Bacterial small subunit ribosomal RNA", at positions 93 to 918 of the family's 1533-position model. The record is from RNAcentral. Lineage: Bacteria; Bacillati; Bacillota; Bacilli; Caryophanales; Bacillaceae.
UAGCGGCGGACGGGUGAGUAACACGUGGGUAACCUGCCUGUAAGACUGGGAUAACUCCGGGAAACCGGAGCUAAUACCGGAUAGUUCCUUGAACCGCAUGGUUCAAGGAUGAAAGACGGUUUCGGCUGUCACUUACAGAUGGACCCGCGGCGCAUUAGCUAGUUGGUGGGGUAAUGGCUCACCAAGGCGACGAUGCGUAGCCGACCUGAGAGGGUGAUCGGCCACACUGGGACUGAGACACGGCCCAGACUCCUACGGGAGGCAGCAGUAGGGAAUCUUCCGCAAUGGACGAAAGUCUGACGGAGCAACGCCGCGUGAGUGAUGAAGGUUUUCGGAUCGUAAAGCUCUGUUGUUAGGGAAGAACAAGUGCGAGAGUAACUGCUCGCACCUUGACGGUACCUAACCAGAAAGCCACGGCUAACUACGUGCCAGCAGCCGCGGUAAUACGUAGGUGGCAAGCGUUGUCCGGAAUUAUUGGGCGUAAAGGGCUCGCAGGCGGUUUCUUAAGUCUGAUGUGAAAGCCCCCGGCUCAACCGGGGAGGGUCAUUGGAAACUGGGAAACUUGAGUGCAGAAGAGGAGAGUGGAAUUCCACGUGUAGCGGUGAAAUGCGUAGAGAUGUGGAGGAACACCAGUGGCGAAGGCGACUCUCUGGUCUGUAACUGACGCUGAGGAGCGAAAGCGUGGGGAGCGAACAGGAUUAGAUACCCUGGUAGUCCACGCCGUAAACGAUGAGUGCUAAGUGUUAGGGGUUUCCGCCCCUUAGUGCUGCAGCUAACGCAUUAAGCACUCGCUGGGGAGUACGGUCGCAGACUGAAACUCAAGAUGCGGGCGGGG